UGGCUCAGUGGUAGAGCGCUUGCCUUGCAUGCAUGAGGCCCUGGGUUUGAUCCCUCAG
This 58-nucleotide transfer RNA is filed under the name Dipodomys ordii (Ord's kangaroo rat). It matches the Rfam family "tRNA", at positions 8 to 63 of the family's 71-position model. Rfam says of the family: Transfer RNA (tRNA) molecules are approximately 80 nucleotides in length. Their secondary structure includes four short double-helical elements and three loops (D, anti-codon, and T loops). The record is from Rfam by way of RNAcentral. Lineage: Eukaryota; Metazoa; Chordata; Mammalia; Rodentia; Heteromyidae.